AACAGGAUUAGAUACCCUGGUAGUCCACGCUGUAAACGAUGUCGAUUUGGAGGUUGUGCCCUUGAGGCGUGGCUUCCGGAGCUAACGCGUUAAAUCGACCGCCUGGGGAGUACGGCCGCAAGGUUAAAACUCAAAUGAAUUGACGGGGGCCCGCACAAGCGGUGGAGCAUGUGGUUUAAUUCGAUGCAACGCGAAGAACCUUACCUACUCUUGACAUCCAGAGAACUUUCCAGAGAUGGAUUGGUGCCUUCGGGAACUCUGAGACAGGUGCUGCAUGGCUGUCGUCAGCUCGUGUUGUGAAAUGUUGGGUUAAGUCCCGCAACGAGCGCAACCCUUAUCCUUUGUUGCCAGCGGUUCGGCCGGGAACUCAAAGGAGACUGCCAGUGAUAAACUGGAGGAAGGUGGGGAUGACGUCAAGUCAUCAUGGCCCUUACGAGUAGGGCUACACACGUGCUACAAUGGCGCAUACAAAGAGAAGCGACCUCGCGAGAGCAAGCGGACCUCAUAAAGUGCGUCGUAAUCCGGAUUGGAGUCUGCAACUCGACUCCAUGAAGUCGGAAUCGCUAGUAAUCGUAGAUCAGAAUGCUACGGUGAAUACGUUCCCGGGCCUUGUACACACCGCCCGUCACACCAUGGGAGUGGGUUGCAAAAGAAGUAAGUAGCUUAACCUUCGGGAGGGCGCUUACCACUUUGUGAUUCAUGACUGGGGUGAAGUCGUAACAAGGUAACC
RNAcentral lists this ribosomal RNA (730 nucleotides) under uncultured bacterium. Its description in RNAcentral is "bacterial SSU rRNA". It matches the Rfam family "Bacterial small subunit ribosomal RNA", at positions 771 to 1501 of the family's 1533-position model. The record is from RNAcentral.